CCAUUUUUGUAUAAAACAAAAUGGCCGGAGCCGAGCGGCAGAAAGAAAAGAUGUAAAACAUGAGUAUGUACAUCAAUGGUGGAACGAUGGUAGAAGGCACAGCGGGUCCGUCCGGUGUGACAGGUAGUCACGACUAUAAUGGACCUUUGGAAAAGACCAGAUCUGAGCUCAACUUCCUUCCAGUUAUUUUUUAUCUUUUUUUGAGACACAGUCUCACUCUGUCGCCCAGGCUGGAAUGCAGUGGCGCAAUCUCGGCUCACAGCAACCUGUGCCUCCCGGGAUCAAGUGAUUCUCGUGCCUCAGCCUCUGGAGUAGCUGGGACUACAGGCACACGCCACCACGCCUGGCUAAUUUUUAUAUUUUUAGUAGAGACAGGAUUUCCAUAUGUUGGCCAAGCUGGUCUCAAACUCGGUCUCAAGCCAUCUGCCUGCCUCGGCCUCCCAAAGUGCUUGGAUUACAGGCAUAAACCACUGCACCCUGCCAACUUCAUUCCAGUUCUAAUACCUGAUCCACUUUACAGAUGAAGAAACUGAGGAAUUAAAAGGUAAAACAGGCUGCCCAAGUCCUGAGAUGAAGCUGGAAAUCAAGUCCAGUUUGUCGUGACUCUAGAACAUGCACCCUUAACCCCUCCACCGUAGAAACUCAGGAACUAGAGAGUUCUGAAUGGAACUUUACACCAAUAAAAGCCAUUCUGUCCAAGAGGUUACAUGCAAAUGGCAAAAUAUAAUUUGGCUGCCUGUUUGCAAGUGGCAAACAUCAUUCCUAUUAUGUAACAGAACUGGGAAGAGGAUUUUGUUGCCUGGAAAGAGUGAGUAAAGAUUUUUUUUUUAAUCUGCCAGAUUUUUUUAUUGUCAAUAUUUUAAGUGUUUGAGCUAUUAAAUAGAUAACCAUAUGCUGCUUUUCUUUUAGCCAAUUAAUGUGGUGAACUAGAUGGAUACAUUUUUUGAUAUUGAACUAUCUUUGCAUUAUUGGGAUAAAACCCAACCAAUGGUGGAUUUUUUUUUUUUUAGUUUUUAAAAAAAUUUACUUGGGUUUUUCUUCUUCUUCUUCUAAGAGAUGGGGUUUUACUACGUUGCCCAGGCUGGCCUUGAACUCCUAGGCUCAAGUGAGUGAUCCUUCUACCCAGCCUCCCAAAGUGCUGGGCUUAUAGGCAUGAGCCACUGUGCUCGGCUAAUGUAUUAUUAUUAUUAUUAUUAUUAUUUGAGGUAGAGACUCGCUGUGUUACCCAGGCUGGAGUGCAGUGGUGCAGUCUUGACUCACUGCAACCUCCGCCUCCCAGGUUCAAGCGAUUCUCCCACCUCAGCCUCCCGAGUAGCUGGAAUUACAGGCGCGUGCCACAAUGCCCAGCUAGUUUUUGUAUUUUUAGUAGAGACGGGGUUUCACCAUGUUGGUCAGGCUGGUCUCGAACUCCUGACCUCACGUGAUCUGCCCUCCUUGGCCUCCCAAAGUGAUGUAUUAUUUUUUAAACACUGGAUUUGCUUGGCUAGGAUUUUGCCUCUAUGAUCAUAAAUAAGGUAAAAUGAGCCCUUAAUUUUAUCUUAUUGAAUUCUUGGCCACAGAUUUGGGAAUCAGGAUUCUUCAGCCUAAAGAGGUUGACAGCUUUCACACUUUUUCUGUUUGCUGGAAUGACUUGUAUAAGACAAGAAGUAACUGUUUCUUUUUUUCUUUUUGAGACAGGGUCUCACUCUGACACCCAGGCUGAAGUGCAAGUGGUGCAGUCACAGCUCACUGUAGUCUCCAUUUCCCAGGCUUAAGCCAUCCUCCCACCUCAGCCUCCCAAGUGGCUGGGACUACAGACACAAACCACCACACCCAGCUAAUUUUUUUAUUUUUGCUAGAAAUGGGGUCUCACUCUGUUGCCCAGGCAGGUCUCAAACUCCUAGGCUCAGAUGAUCCUCCUGCCUCAACCUCCCAAAAUGCUGGGAUUGCAGGCACAGGCCACUGCACCUGGCCAAGAAGUAACUAAGUGUGGUAGGAAUCACCUGUAAAACCGUCGGGGCCUUGGGAUUAUUGGGGAGAUCUUUGAGUACCAUUUAAAUGUCAUUCAUUUACAGACCCGGGCAGUGGCUCAUGCCUAUAAUCCCAGCACUAUGGGAGGCUGAGGCAGGCAGAUCAACUGAGGCCAGGAGUUCAAGACAGCCUGGCUAAUAUGGGGAAACCCCGCCUCUACUAAAAAUAUAAAAAUUAGCUGGUGCAUGCCUGUGGUCCUAGCUAAUCGGCAGGCUGAGGCACAAGAAUUGCUUGAACCUGGGAUGUGGCGAUUGCAGUGAGCUAAGAUCACAGCACUGCACUCCAGCCUGGACGACAGACUAAGACCCUGUCACAAAAUAAAAUAUAAUAAAAUAAAUAAAAUAAAAUAAUAAACAAAUAAGUGAAGUUCAUUUACUAUUUUAUCAUGUUCCUUGCCUGUCCUUCCCUACCCCACCACCUUACCUCUGGUCAACCUCCUUCUGAAGUUCACGACUGCGUUCUUCCAACUGCUGUUGAAGCCGUUUUCGCUGCUGCUCUGGGGGCAAGUGGCUAAAAUCCUCGGUCACCACUGUCUGCAAGGUGGGUAGAGGGCUGAAUUUGGGAUCAAGGAGUCUAGCCUGCCAGACUCUGCACCCGUCUGAGAUAUUUCACUCCCUUCCCCAGCCAUGGUUCUUGACAGCGAAGCCAUGCACAGAGCAAAGCAGGUCUGGGUUGGGCAACCAGGGAAGAGGGGCCCAGCCAGCGGCAGGAAGCGAGCCCAGGGUCCCGCCACCCGCCGCUGGGCAGGCUAGGGCCACCACCUCCUCCUGCCCCGAGGCCUCACUUACCCCACGGCUGCCUCGAAGGCUGCGGAAGGAUGCUAGCCUCGGUUUGACCGACUUACUGAUCUCGCUCAGUAUGGCCAAGGGGUCACGGCCGGAGCGGGGGGACGGGGGUCCGUUAGGCAAUGCCGAGGGUACGGGGCCCCCCAGGGGGGAGAGGGGUGGGGGGCGAGGCUACCGGCGGGGGCCGGGGAGGGGGAUAGGUUGAAGGGGUGGGGGGGCAUAGGAGGAUGUAGAGAGUGAGGACGAAUGGACGGAGGGAUGGACGCACGGAUGGACGGAUGGACGCAAAAAAAGGAAAAAGGAAAAACAAAAUGGAGAAAGAAAAAAAACGGUAAGAAAACCACAACUCAAGAUGCACAACCACACAGAGAAAACGCAUGCAGGAGCGACACAAAAAAAUCUGGAAGGUGGCGGGGAGGAUGUUGAACUGUAAGCCCGAAAGCCAGAACUCUCACUCCCCCGGUAUCUCCUAGGUCUCUGGAAUGUUAUGUCCGGGAGCAAGCAUGGGUCCAGGAGGCAGGGAGGCCCAUGUCUCUCUGUCCACUUAGCUUUCUGGGCUGACAGUCUAGAAGACGCAUGCAGGAAUCAAGGUCUCAGACAGGUAAGAGGCCACAGAGGACAAAAAUAAAUAAACAAAAAUAAAACCACAAGCCGAGAGGGAGUGGAAGGCAGGAAAAUGAGAGGGGUUAGGGGCAUCAGAAGUUUAAGCUCGGGGAUCACAGGUGUUAAGUCAAGGAGAGGUAUGAGAGUGUAAGUGAAGAGGGACCCAAAGUAUAAAUCAAAGGUAUAAACCAAGGGUGCUAAGGUAUAUUAAAAUCCAAAAACCCAAGAAAGCAAGACAUGCAGGGCGGCUCCCAGAGUCCCAUCAGCAGGAUGGAGAGAGAAACUCGGGGAGUCCCCAGGGAUGGUGUCACCAGCCCUCAGGCCAGCCCUGAAUUCCACCAGCAGGUUUUCUCCCAGCAUCCCGAGAAGCAGCAGACAAACGCCACGGACCUCCCCACCUCCCCACCCUGCCCCCGCCUUCGCCUCGGGGGACUCCCAGGCCAAUCGGCCGCCUUCCUUCCCUCCAGUCCGGGCUGGCAGCCAAGAGGAAAAUUCCUGCCCGAGACUCGGCGUUCAGGCGGCUGGGGCUGACUCAAUAGGGGCCCCACUGUCCCCACUUCACUGUCCUUCUCCCCCACCAUCCCAAGGGUCCCGGCCCCCACCUUGUUCUUCUUGCCAAAAGGCCAGCGCUUGGUGCGGCUGCGACCCGGGCCUCGGAGUUCAGGCCGUCCAUCCGAGGGGGUGCCCAGACUGCUGUCGGAGGGUGCACGGUUCAUGGGCUGGCUGAAGUCCUCGAAUUCCACGUCGCCCGGGCGGGCAAAACCUGACUUGUGCAGCUCUAUAAGGACGUGGGAGUCCUGGGGGAGGGGGACAGUGGAUGAGCAGUCGAGUGCCUAGCCUAUGGGUACCUCCCUCUGCCCUUCCCGUAGCCCAGUGGACCCAGACCAGGCACCCACGUUCUUGGGAUCCACAGCAUUUGCAGCCACCUUCAUGCCCUCCAAGCACUUGGCUAUUAUGGGCACCACCUCCAGCUCGGCCUCCGACAGGAGCCCAUACCCGGCACCCAGGCGGGUGGCCCUGCGUUCAUCCAUGUCUUGGAGCUUCUGUAAGGACAGGGACAAGGGUGGCUCAGGGGUGCUAACAGAGGGACUAGAAGCACAGUGAUUCACUCUGCAAAUAUGAUCGCGCUCCACGCUGGCCCCAGCCCCAAGCCAGUCUGGAGGGGAAGACAGAGUCGGGAAGAGAGACUCCAGCCCACUGUGGUUGGGGAAGAGACACAGGGCCAGGGGGAUCUCAGAGGGGGACGCGUGCCUAGGGGGUCAGCAAAGGCUUCUCAAAGGAGGAGACAAGGGAACAGGGAUUUGAAGAAAAAGCAGAACCAGCCCUGAUACUCCCAGGGCCACGGAUGGGACAGAGAGUGGAGCGCUAGAUUGAAACAGGAGAGGGGAAAUUCGAGACCUUUCAGAGGGGUUGUUAGAGGUGGAGCUUAGAAGAAUAAGUAGGAAUUUCAAAAAGAAAGAAAGGUCACUUGAGCACAGGGGUUCCAGGCUGCAGUGAGCUGUGAUUAUGCCACUGCACUCCUGCCCGGGUGACAGAGCCAGGCCCCAUCUCUCUAUAGAAGUAAAUAAACAAACAAGUAAAAGGCAUGCCCAGCAGGAAGAACAGCUGACUAAAAGCACAGCUCACUGUUACUAUAGGUUUCUGAUUCCCUUUCAAUCUAGGGACUGGGACAUUGCAGCUGGGGUUUUGAUGAAUGCGUAGGAGUUGGCUAACAUUUGGAGGCUUUCGGGAAGGUAGGUCUGAGAACUGGGAGCACUCACAUCGAAUAUCUGGGGCAUCUGUGAAAAAUAGAAGUGGGCUUGGUCUCGGUUGA
This 5211-nucleotide long non-coding RNA is filed under the name Homo sapiens (human). Its description in RNAcentral is "HSALNT0395932". Lineage: Eukaryota; Metazoa; Chordata; Mammalia; Primates; Hominidae. The record is from RNAcentral.